This is a small nuclear RNA of Jaculus jaculus (lesser Egyptian jerboa), 107 nucleotides long. Lineage: Eukaryota; Metazoa; Chordata; Mammalia; Rodentia; Dipodidae. The record is from Ensembl.
GUGCUCACUUCAACAGAACAUAUACUAAAAUUGGAAGGAUAUAGGGAAGAUUAGCAUGGCCCCUAUACAAGAAUGACGCACAAAUCCGUGAAGCAUUCCAUAUUUUA